GCCCCCGUGGCCUAAUGGUUAAGGCGCCUGCCUUCUAAGCAGGAGAUUGCCAGUUCAAGCCUGGCCGGGGGCU
Neonectria ditissima is the source of this 73-nucleotide transfer RNA. It matches the Rfam family "tRNA". From Rfam's summary of the family: Transfer RNA (tRNA) molecules are approximately 80 nucleotides in length. Their secondary structure includes four short double-helical elements and three loops (D, anti-codon, and T loops). Further hydrogen bonds mediate the characteristic L-shaped molecular structure. tRNAs have two regions of fundamental functional importance: the anti-codon, which is responsible for specific mRNA codon recognition, and the 3' end, to which the tRNAs corresponding amino acid is attached (by aminoacyl-tRNA synthetases). tRNAs cope with the degeneracy of the genetic code in two manners: having more than one tRNA (with a specific anti-codon) for a particular amino acid; and 'wobble' base-pairing, i.e. permitting non-standard base-pairing at the 3rd anti-codon position. Lineage: Eukaryota; Fungi; Ascomycota; Sordariomycetes; Hypocreales; Nectriaceae. The record is from Rfam.